This is a ribosomal RNA of Oryzias melastigma (Indian medaka), 119 nucleotides long. The record is from Ensembl. NCBI's taxonomy places the organism in Eukaryota, Metazoa, Chordata, Actinopteri, Beloniformes, Adrianichthyidae.
ACUUACGACCACACCUCCCUGAGCACGCCCGAUUUUGUCUGAUCUCGGAAGCUAAGCAGGGUCGAGUCUGGUUAUUACUUGGAUGGGAGACAGCCUGGGAAUACCAGAUGCUGUAAGUU